This 1336-nucleotide long non-coding RNA is filed under the name Fragaria vesca (wild strawberry). RNAcentral describes it as "long non-coding RNA (FVES_LNC004245)". The record is from RNAcentral. Lineage: Eukaryota; Viridiplantae; Streptophyta; Magnoliopsida; Rosales; Rosaceae.
CAAAUUAAUUGAUUAUCAAACACCACCACAGGUGGAAAAACGGGUUGAGAAACUCCAAGCAUUCAAAUGCUCCACCACAAUUGAUCAGUGUAUGAAAUUUUUGACAUUUUUAUGCUGUUUGGAACAACAUUAAUGAAAUUAAUGGAAAAAAAAAUAUCCAAAAAUACAUAAACAAAAAAAAAAGAACAUUGAUGAAAUUAGAAGUACUAAAAUCAACAAGAACAUAGAUGCAUAGGUGCUAAAUUACAUCCCACUUUAAAAGUACUAAACAUCCCACAUUAAAAAUUAACCCUCAAACAACAACUAAAAGUAUCCAAAAUCACACAAGCAAAAAAAAAAGAACAUGAAUGAAAUUAAAAGUAUUAUUUUAGACCAAAUUUAGUGUGGUUGAGUGUAUUGUAACACCAUGCAACCUAAAAAAUGAAGUAUAAAAUGAAUAAAAUCAAGUAUUCUAAUAUUACGAGACGAGACAGGAUUUUUCGGGAUAGUCUCGUCCCGUUAUGGUAAUGUUAAAACGGGACGGGACGGGACGGGAUUGCUAUUUUCAAAACCUAUCUCGUCCCGUCCCGCUAACUUUCGGGACGGGAGCGGUACGGGAUCGGGAUUCCGGUACUAAGUGCCCAGCCCUACUUUAUGCUGGAGUUGGGAAUUCAACGUCUUUGGCAAUGAGAUUCAGGCAACGUCCUUUCUCCUCGAAGAAUACCUUUCUCGAUAGCGUAGCGUACCAUACUUCAAAUCGUAUAAAACCUUCUUGAAUAAUCGAGGUUGACCACACCACCCACAGCGAUCAGUGGUUUAAAAUUCGAAGCUUGCAGGUCUCAUGUCCUCGUCAAAUUGUUUGUGACUUUGGGCGAUUGAUUGAGGUCCAAGCGAGUUGAAGGCUAGCUAGAAAGAGAGGCAUUCGACGCACCCGAUCUCUCCCAAUUGAAGUGCGGAGUGGGUUAGACCAUUUGCCUUCGGGUUUGAGGGUGGGACUAGUUCUCUACAUUGUCUACCUUUGAGGAGCUAAUUAAUAUCGCCUAAUCAAUUAAAAAAAAAAAAAAAAAACAACAACGACAUAUAGGUGCGGAGGUGGCCAGAGAGGGUCAUUGUAUUGUUUCUUCUUUUAUGUAGUACUCUUAUAACCUUCAUGUUUCCUUCAUCAACAACAACAUAAUGUAGCUUGCAAGCUCCUUGCACUACCAGGACAAGCACUUUAGCCGACGAAAAUUUUUCGUCGGCCUGUCAGCUUAAUUCGUCGGCUAAGAUCUUAGCCGACGACCUUUCGUCGGCUUAGAUUUCGUCGGGAAAAGCUUGUCUGUGGUGACCUUAGCCGACGACACACGUAUAAGUCGUC